GGGGUUGUGGCUCAAUGGUAGAGCACUUGCCUAGCACGUGUGAGGCACUGGGUUUGAUUCUCAGCACCA
RNAcentral lists this transfer RNA (69 nucleotides) under Ictidomys tridecemlineatus (thirteen-lined ground squirrel). RNAcentral's name for it is "Spermophilus tridecemlineatus (thirteen-lined ground squirrel) tRNA". It matches the Rfam family "tRNA". From Rfam's summary of the family: Transfer RNA (tRNA) molecules are approximately 80 nucleotides in length. Their secondary structure includes four short double-helical elements and three loops (D, anti-codon, and T loops). Lineage: Eukaryota; Metazoa; Chordata; Mammalia; Rodentia; Sciuridae. The record is from Rfam by way of RNAcentral.